This is a non-coding RNA of Callithrix jacchus (white-tufted-ear marmoset), 5988 nucleotides long. The record is from RefSeq and is a predicted model, not a curated record. NCBI's taxonomy places the organism in Eukaryota, Metazoa, Chordata, Mammalia, Primates, Cebidae.
GGUGUGUGUCUGUGCCGUAGCCGCCGCCGCCGCCGCCUGUAGCUGAGGCUGGCAUCGCCGAGCCCCCGCGCGGGGGGCUGCCGCCCGAGCUCCUGAUUGACAGGCCGCCUCGCCAAUGCCUGGAGGGAGAAAGGAGACAGACAGCAAGAAGAAACAAAACCAGAGGAGAAGAAUGGAGCUGGAUUGUCUCUGAAGACCUUCAGGCUACAGAGAAGCUGCACUCGUAAUGCAGAGAAUGCAGCUGGAGGAGCUCUUUGAUUUAACUGUUGUUACUGAAAUCUGUGUAGCAUCAAGUGAUUUAGAGCAGGGAGUUAUCUUAGAAUUCUGGAAAGAUUCAAGAAUGCAUGUCUUCCUACCAGAUCGUAAGCUUGUCAGGGCCACAUCUGUCCUGCUUACUGCUGAAUCCCAGCUGGCAGAACAUAGACAUUUCAUAAUAUUUUUGGAGCAAAAGCAUCAAUCGGACUACCAUGUGUAAAGGCCGGCACAGGAUGAAGGAACAGUGUGGUGACUUGGGACGCCAUGCCAUGCUGCUGCAACCAUGUCUGUCUGUGGCUCUGUGUGUGUGCUCUGCACCUCUAGAUGAACUCAUCAAACAGCAUCUAUGGAAAAGCCCAUGGAACUCUCGCUGCCAGGCCAAGGUGAUUACAAUAGACGGGGUUUCGCCAUGUUGACCAGGCUGGUCUUGAACUCCUGAGCUCAAGUGAUGCAAACGCCUCAGCCUCCCAAAGAGUUGGAAUUAUAGGCAUGAUCCACCAUACCCAGCCUAUAUUUCUAAGGUACUGAACUCUAAAUGUUGGCAUUAUUUGUCAGAGGUACCCAGAAAAUGUUCUGAUAGUCUAAAAAGAACUAACCUUGAAAAGCAAAUAAAAAUUUCUAAGCACUUCAUGCAGUGUUUGGUACUUGAUAAAUAUUUGUUAAGUAUUUGUAGACAUGAGCAAGCAAAUUGGAUAUGACAAAUUAGCAUCACAAUUAGGUAGUAGGGGCAGAUCCAGUUUUGUGGAACCUGAAGCUUAUAAAAUUUGGAAGCUCCCUUUGAAAAAGAAAUACAAAAUCAUCCACAUAAAAUUAGGCAUAAGGCCAGGCACAAUGGCUCAUGCCUCUAAUCCCAGCACUUUGGGAGUCUGAGGUAGGAUUGCUUGAGUCCAGUUUGUGGCCAGCCUGAGCAAUAUAGCAAGACCUUGUUCUCAAAAAAAUAAAAAAAAUUAGCCUGGCAUGGUGGCAUGUGCCUCUAGUCCUACCUACUUGAGAGGCUGAGAUGGGAGGAUUGCCUGAGCCCAAAAGUUUGAGGCUGCAGUGAGCUAUGAUUGUGCCACUGCAUUCCAGCCUAGGUGACACAGGGAUACCCUGUCCCUACAAAAAUAAAUAAAAUAAGUAAAGUAAAAUAUAAUUGGACAUUAAAGUGAGUAUUUAUUUAGAAUGAGAAAAUAAAUCACUAUAAAUUUUUUUCAGCUUUAUUUGAAGUAUAAUUGACAAAAAGUGAAUGAGUAUAUUUACUGUAUAUAACAUGAUGUGUUGAUAUAGGUAUGUGCUGUAUGUCAUUCUCUUCUGCUUAAAGCACACCUUCUCAUCCUCUUCAUCCAACCAAUCAUUCAUCUUUCAAAAUGCUCCUCAUCUAUCACCCCUUCAAGGAGGCCUUCCCUGACACUCCCAAAGGCUGGGUUAGGUCCCACCGCGUAUGCUCCCAAGACAUCAUCUGUACCGUGACACUUACUGCAUUGACUGGCUGGCUAUUCAUCUUCUGAAUUCCCAACAGCUGCAGCAUAGGUCCUAAAAGAGAGGACCUAUGUCUUUUAUCUUUAUAUUUCAGUGUUUAGUGCCCAGUAAACAUACAAUAGCUGUUUGUUGAAUGAGUAAAUGAGAUUUAUUGACUUUAUUUGGCAUCAAACAAGUCCAAACCCUAGUGAUCUCAAAUCCGUCAUCAUAUUCUGCACAAACUGAUUGAAUAUCGAUCCCCUGCCAUUGCUUCAAGUUUAAAAAAAAAAACCUUUUGAAAAUAUGAUGUGCAGGAUCGGGCACAGUGGCUCACGCCUAUAAUCCCAGCACUUUGGGAGGCCAAGGCAGGCCAGUUUCCUGAACUCAGGAAUUCGAGACCAGCAUGGGCAACAGAGUGAAACUCAGUAUCUACUAAAAUACAAAAAAUUAUCAGGGUGUGGCAGCAGGCACCUGUAGUCCCAGCUACUUGGGAGACUAAGGCAGGACAAUUGCUUGAACCCAGGAGGCGGAGGUUGCAGUGAGCCGAGAUCAUGUCACUGCACUCCAGCCUGGGAGACAGAGCAAGAUUCCAUCUAAAAAAAAAAACAAAAAAGAAAAUAUUGUGUGCAGCUAUAAAACAACAAAACUGGUUCUAUAGUACAUGCAUAAAUAUCAGGCUCAUUAUUUUAUAAUCAUCCUUUAUAAAUGAAAAUUUGAAAUGACUGAGCUGCAGUCAGACUUGAACACAGGCUUCAAGAAUUAUAACUUCAUUUCCUACUAUAAAAUUAAUUGUUUCCAUUGAAAACAUUGGAAAGAAACAGGCUGGUCUAGAGAAGACUUGAAAAAAUAUUUGAUUUCAUUUCUGUUAAAACUUUACCUGGUUUGUCCCUAUGUCUUAAUCUCCAAGUUCUGUUUUCAGUGGAAUCCAUAUCUGUGUCAUCCGAGACUUACUGUUGACAUCAACGUGCUGCAUACAUAAGACUCUACUCAAUUUAUUUAAUUCCACAAAAGUUUACUGAAUAUUUUCUAUUCUAAUUUUGCCAGCAUUACGAUCAGGUUAUAGGAGUCAAGGUUUUGUAGGCAAUAUUUUGUUUUCUAGUCAUUCAUUUCUCUUUCUUUCCUUUUUUUUUUUUUUUUUUUGAGAUGGAGUUUUGCUCUUGUUGCCCAGGCUGGAGUGCAGUGUUGCAAUCUCAGCUCAUUGCAACCUCUACCUCCCAGGUUCAAGCAAUUCUCCUGCCUCAGCUUUCCAAGUAGCGGGGGCUACAGGCUCCCGCCACCAUGCCCGGCUAGUUUUUGUAUUUUUAAUAGAAACAGGUUUCACCAUGUUGGCCAGACUGGCCUCAAACUUCUGACCUCAGGUGAUCCCACCCACCUCGGCCUCCCAAAUUUCUGAGAUUACAGGCAUGAGCCACCGAGCCUGGCCCAUUUCUUUAUUCAACAAAUUAUGUGAAGCUUUCACUGUAAGUUCAUAAGACGUUGUUCUAAUUGACAUAGAAGGAAAAAAGGAUCGAUAGAUUUCUGAUUUUAUGGGAAUCAUAAUUUAAUUAGGGAGAUAAGAUAUGCAGACAUAACAUGUUUACCAUCAACACUAAAGUUUAAUAGCAACAUGAGCCAAUUAUGUAAGAACUCUCCUAUGAUCACAUCAUCCCGGGCUCUGCCAGGCUCUCCCUGGGUUGGUGGUUUCAGCCUCACAGGAAGCCAGGUUGUGCUAGAAAGAAAGUUUCAGAAACAGGCUAGUGUUUGAAAAUGGCGCAAGUUCCUAGCCUCAGUUGCUUCAUUUUAUGUACUCAUAGAAUUCUGAGGAAAUGUAUGUCUCCCUGUUUAACUCUCUCUUCUGCGUAGAAAAUGCCCUCAGUGGGCUCAGUGGGUAAGAGUGCCACAGGCGAGCAUAGUAACCCUGACAGUCCCUUACAAGGUUGGCAGAGAAACACAGCUACUACCACUGCUGUGGUCUCUGAGUCUGUUUGUUUGACAUCUGCAACAGGUAUUUUAUUUUAUUUUAUUUGUUUUGAGAUGGAGUCUGGCUCUGUUGCCUAGGCUGGAGUGCAGUAGCGAGAUCUCAGCUCACUGCAACCUCUGCUUCCCGGGUUCAAGCAAUGCUCACUCGGCUCACUGCCUCCCAGGUUCAAGCAAUUCUCCUGCCUCAGCCUCCUAAGUAGCUGGCCUUACAGGCACCUGCCACAACAGCUGACUAAUUUUUGUACUUUUAGUAGAAACAGGGUUUCACAAUGUUGGCCAGGCUGGUCUCAAACUCCUGACCUCAAGUGAUCCACCUGCCUAGGCCUCCCAAAGUGCUAGGAUUAAAAGCAUGAGCCACCACGCCCAGCCCAGAUUUAUUUUUUUAAACGAAUGGAUUUUGAGAGGGAACAAUAUGGGGCAGAAGUAUGGAAUAGAAAAUAAAUACAAAUGUGAGCUGCUUUUCUAGCUGUUUUAUAACCACAACAAACUAGUUCAGAGAAUGCCCUGUACAAAACACAAUAAAGGUUCAAAGAUGAAGGUGUUCCAUUAGCAAGGCUGCAAAUGUCCCUCUCUGGUAUUUGGAACUGAGGCUACAGUCCUUGUUUUUGGAUGGAUCACUGCAUGUGUGGCACAGUCCACGCUUUGGGGAGUUGAGAGGAGUCGCCAGAUUUCUCAGUCUGUAAAGUAUGGCGUUGGUGAUGACAAGAUUUCCACUCUUCUCUGUGGGAUCAGGAAGGGAGUGCAUUCUCCACCCACCACCAAGCUUAAUUGAGGGGAAGAUUUCAAGAAGUUUUGUAGCUUGGGGGUGUCUGCAGCAAAAGGAGAAUGGCAUCUUGCUGACUGGCUGAGCCAUCCCUGGCCACCCAGAAGCUGCUAUUGGAGAAGAAUGGGGUGUGUUGAGUGAGUUAUUGGGGGAACCUAAGCUGAGGGUGGUACUCAACCAUAGAAAUUAGUGCCAUUUCUGGCUCUUGCCUGGAAUCCCAGCACUUUGGGAGACCGAGGCUGGCAGAUCACUUGAGGUCAGGAGUUUGAGAUCAGCCUGGCCAACGUGCUGAAACCCCAUCUCUACUAAAAAUACAAAAAUUAGCUGGGCAUGGUGCUGUAUAAUCCCAGCUACUCAGGAGGCUGAAGCAGGAGAAUCGCUUGAACCCAGGAAGUGGUGGUUGCAGUGAGCUGAGAUGGUGCCACUGGGCAACAGAGUGAGACUCCAGAUAAAAAAAAAAAAGAAAUUAGUGCCACUUCUCUUCAACAAGUGGGGAUAGUAGUGCCCAAACUAGCUGAGGGAAAGAUGUAGGGAAACACCCACAUUCCCAGAGGCUCCUGGAAGAAGUGGAGGAGGACCUCAGUGCUUCCAUGCUUACUGGAAAGAGCAGAAUGUUGGAGGGGGAGCCAGGCCCGAGUGCCCUGGUGAGUUCAGGCAGACAAUGCCUUAGAGAAGUGGCUGAAGGCAUGGAUUCCUGGUGGUGCCCCUUUUUGAGUUGAUCUUUAGAAGCAGUAGUGCUGGGGUGAAGGUGAGCUUUACCUCAGGAAACCACUUCCAUCAUCAGCACAAGAAACUACCACAUAAAGCCAGACCCAAUCAGAAUGAGGCCUGAGAGCCUCCUGCUGUGGUGCCCUCUCCCACCAGAGAAGCCAGCUUUGCGGGUGGGGGCUGGAGAUGUAUUAGAGUAACACCAAGCCCGCACCCUAGUGCCUGUGCUAGGGCAAAGAAAGGGCAAGACAUGAGAUUUGAAGCACCUUUAGGAUAAGCUUGGCUGGGAUUUUAAUAAUCAAAAGUGAUUGCAAGUAAUAAAGUCUGAGGGAUCUGUGGGGACUGCUCCCGUGUGCGGCCCCUAGGAAAUGGGCCUUGCCAUACAGUGAGCUUGAGCCCGGACACAGAUCCCUGGUUGGGGGAGUCAAGCUGAGGGAAAGCAGGAACCGAGAGAGGGACUAUGCUAUUCAAAAUAAUUAACAGACAUUACUUUAUGGAUAUGAGGACUUGGGAGGCAUCGUGUCCACUUUCGGCUCCUUAUGGUUUAUUGCUUGAUUGUGUCCAUUUUGGACCCUUGUUACCUUCAUUGUAAAAUAUUAACUUAAGUAUUUACACUGUAACUUACUUACUAUAACUUACUGGGCAUAACUGUAACUUGCUUACCUUGUGACUUAAGUAUUUACAAUUGUUAAGUACUUACCGGGCGUAACUGACUUACUGGGCUUAACUUACUUACUGGGCAUAACUUAGUGGGUGUAACUUGCUUACUGUAACUUAAGUAUGUUGAUCUGGCAUAAACAACAUUAACUUCAGAAAAGUAUAUAAUGGAACAUAUUGCAAAAAUAAAAUUGCUGCUUGGACAUAGA